This is a long non-coding RNA of Psammomys obesus (fat sand rat), 1610 nucleotides long. RefSeq lists it as uncharacterized. NCBI's taxonomy places the organism in Eukaryota, Metazoa, Chordata, Mammalia, Rodentia, Muridae. The transcript is spliced from 4 exons. The record is from RefSeq and is a predicted model, not a curated record.
UCUCGCAAAGCCUCCACAGCAGGAAAAAACCGGCUCCAGACGGCCUGCAGACCAGAGAGGUUUUCCUGGAAGAAGAAGAGGCUGAGUCACCGUUCCUGUCCGUGGUUCCCUUAGCCUCACAGAGCAAGCAGCAACCGGCAGAGAACAGAAAGCUGAGCUCCUGCACGCUCCAGGGACUCUCCUGACACACCUCUCCGGGACUCCCGGACUCGACUCCUGGUGGUCUUUUGGGGUCUCGUGAAUCGGGCACAAUGAAAGAAAGAAAUAGAAACCUAGAAGAAGGUGUUGGAUCCCUGGAACUGAAGUUACAGUGGCCAUUCGUUACACGGCUAUGGGAACCUACCCUGGAUCUUCUGCAAGAACAUGGCACUGAAGACUGAACCUAGGGCCUUGCACAGGCUAACCACACAUGCUGCCAGCUGGAUCGCCACUCUGCACCACCCCCACUUCUCACGUGUUUACAUGUCCUCUCUGGAACUGCCCGUUCUAACUCCACAGCCACUGGUCAUGUGGAGUGGCUAAAGUUGCAAUGACACCAAAUUCAGCGGCUGAACACAGACUGCGUUUACCCAGGGCACCCUGAGCCAACGUCACAGAGUCAGGAACGACAAUGGCAGGUGACAACAUGGAAUCUAUGGGUUGAGGAGGGGUGACUAGGAGCUGAUGGGUAGAGAAGUCUACAGAAAUCCACCUGGCCUUGCCUCCCAAGUGCUUUUUUUUUUUUUUUUUUAAUUCAGUUAGAUUGGCCUCCAAGUUGCCACAUGGGUAUAGGUGACCAUGAACUCCUGAGUCUCCUCUGGGUCCUGAAGGGUGGUCAGGUGCCAGGUGGACUUCACCGUACUUAGCUCAAAGUUCCAGUUUUGCAAGAUUAAAGGGUAUUUAGGAAUUGGCUGCACAACAGAAUGCUUCAAGUUGGGCUGGAGUCACAGGGCUUGCUCUGCAUUAUGAAGAAGACUGUGUUCCAUUUCUGGCAACAAAUCAAGCGAAAUCCACGAACUGCUACAUUUUCAUACUUAAAAAUUAGUACUGCAGGCCAGGUGCGGUGGAGCAUGCCCGUAAUCUCAGUACUCGGCACGCAGGGAGGCGGAGGCAGGCAGAUCUCUGUGAGUUUGAGGCCAGCCUGGUCUACCAGGCAAGUCCAGGACAGCCAAGGCUACACAGAGAAACCCUGUCUCAAAAAAAAAAAAAGAAAAAUUCAGUACUGUGGCUAAGUGGUGGUGCAUGCCUGUAAUCCCAGCACUCAGGAGGCAGGGGAGGCGGAUCUCUGUGAGUCCGAGGCCAGCCUGCUCUACAACAUGAGUCCAGGACAGCCAAGGCUACACAGAGAAACCUUGUCUCAAAAAACCAAAAAUGUGCACUCCUGUGGGCAUCUGAGCCUUAGAUGUUUCCCUAGAUCUCCGGUUCACUCCCAUUCUUGUCACAGCGUACCUCUGUAACACAUCUCAAGUAUUAAGUCAGAGGUCAACAUGUGGGAGUUGUUCUCUCCUUCUGUCGGGUGACAAUUCAGGUUGCCAUCCUUGUGGCAGCCUCUAUUCUCUCAAGCCUAAAAACUUCAAUUCCCAACAGUCUGGUGGCAGUUUUUUUAAAUAUGUAUGCGUAUUUUGCAUGCA